RNAcentral lists this long non-coding RNA (1850 nucleotides) under Oryza sativa (Asian cultivated rice). RNAcentral's name for it is "long non-coding RNA (OSAT_LNC000290)". The record is from RNAcentral. Lineage: Eukaryota; Viridiplantae; Streptophyta; Magnoliopsida; Poales; Poaceae.
UAGCAACUGCCGUUGUUGGGUUUGCUGCUCUCUUCGCGUUCGUCUUUGCCUUCUCCAUCAAAGUCUUCAAUUUCCAAAGAAGAUAAGAGCACCAUCUCAUCUUGAUUCAAGUUUGGAUAAGUUUGCUGUUGAGUACUGGCACACAGCACUGUAAAUGAGGAGAGAAUGUAUUCAGUAUUUGUUUCAUUCGUAGGCAAUUGACAUCUCUAUCUGUUCAGUUUGGCAUUUAUCAAACAGAUAAGAGGCAUGUAUGUAAACUGUAAAAAUAUGCAAUAGUUCCAUGAUGUAAUUUUUUCCAUAAUAUUGUCAAGUAUUUGUUCAAUUGAAUCUCACUGCCUUCAAAAAGCAGCAAAUGAAACAUUAAUGUGAAAAAAAAAAGAUGGCACUGCUAUAUAAUGCUGAAAACAGUAGAAACUUUAGAAAUCUACUACAAACACUAGCAUUAGGAACUGAUAUAAUCAAUAAUUCAAGAUUGCUGAUGAUGUUGUGUGUUCAGCAUAUAAUUAAUAAUUUACGAUUAUUGUGAUAACAUAUUACCAUUUGGAUUAAAAAUAACCUUGAUGCGAAUUUUAAAUGAGACGUGACUCACAUUUCUAGACAGCAGGACAGCAAAAGUAUUGACAACCAAAGACAAAUUCAGAUAUCCAACUAUUGAAGCUUCUAAGGUGUGCCAUAUAUUUAACUAUUGGAUAAUUUGGGAGGCUUAAAGAAUAUCGAUAAAGGUUUGCAAUUUUGCAUAAGAAACGAAUUUUAUAGUCAAGACUGAUUGUCAUAUGAAAAUAACAUUCCAAAAGCAAACUAUACUUUGAGACAAAGUUUUAAACAGACAUCCAGCAAGGACAGGCCAGAUUGUCAUAUAAAAAUAACAUUCCAAAAGCAACUAUACUUCGACACAAACUUUUGAACAGACAUCCAGCAAACCUCUGGUUUACAAGAAUGUACAGAGCAUGGACUGCAUCAGGGAUUAUUGCAGUCAUAUUCACAAAAUAACUUGUGCCAUUUAUUGAGCGGCCUUUGUCUGUCAAUCAAUUUGGCCCAACCAAGGGAAAGAAAGAUGACUGUUCAACAACUAUAUUGCACAUUUCAACAUGUGAUAGUUUCUCUUAGGCAAAAAAACAACAUGGCCUAGUUGCUUAAAAACCGGGGGAGGGGGGACUUCUCUAUACAAAAGUAUGGCAUUGUUAACUAACAAUAAGUCGAAAACAGAUCCAUAGAAUCGAUAGUCAACUUUUUUUUUUGCAGCAAUAUCGAUGGUUAACUGACUGUGAGAAAUAAAUUGUUGAUUUAGAUUAGUCGUUGUUUUCACGAAACAAUGUAAUCCUCCAAAAUUGACAUUGGACUCUUGGUAAUCCUCGGAAGAUUUUGUCAAAAUUGCCAAAGUGUUCCACAACAAAAGCACAAGUGGAAAUGGUGAUAAACAGCAAUCGCACCACCAAAUUCAGCGCAACUCAGAAAUCCCCAAACAAUUCCCCUCCAGCCGCACUAGCUCAGGUACAGAAACAGGCACAUUUUGCAGGGGAUCAUCCAACUACCCAGCACUAAACAAUCGAUGGAAGUACAGAUCAACAAGAUCGCCUCCCACAUUCAUACAGCAACUAUAGACUGGUAAUUCGCGAUGGCAACAUACACCCGCAGGAAGAUUAGGCGCGGGAUGGAUCUGACUCUGAGGAGAAGUAGGGUUACAGGAUCGUUACCCAGAGCCACGCCGACCAAGCGCCGGAGUAACGCGGGCGGCGGCGGCCACGAUCCGCCCGUGGGCCGGCCGCCGGAUCGGCAUCGCCGCCGGUCAGCGCGGUCGCGGGGCACCUCGGAUUUCGCGCCUGGGUUGGGUUCAGAUUUCAGGGCUUUUA